CCUAACAUGACCAAUUGCACUGUCAGAAAGUUCUGUGUCUCCUGAUUUUGUAGCUCAUAGCAGUUUUAAUAUUGGUCCUAUUCUGGUUUCUCUCAAGUCUCAACUGAUAACAGCAACGAAAGCUUUUUCUUCUUAGGUGGGGUUCAAUACCUGGUUUUUUAUUUCCCCCUUGAUUUCAACAAAAAUGUGAACAAAUGGACAUUAUCGAAUGCGGAUCGCGAACUAUGGAGGAAAACGGAAAAUCUGCUAUAAAAUGCCUUGGUAUUGCCAUCCUUCACAAACUGGCUUUGUCUGUUGUAAAAACUUCUGUCACCCCAGUCUGACACUGCGGAUAUUUGACAUACACUGCAUUGUCCUGCUUAUGAUUUUGCGCUCUAUGGCAAUGUAGUCACGAUCAAGUGCUAGCUCGUAGGAUCGUACAUCUUGCAAGAGUUUUGUGGUCAAGAUCACAAUUUUCUGGUGGGAUCGUGGAAAGACACUAAAUUCGGGUGCUUUUUUCUCUUUAACUUCUAUACUGCUAUUAGUUGUGGAUUUUGCUUUCCGGGCCAAAUGUUCUAGAGCAAUAUUGAUAUGCAUUCUCAUUUUACUUUCUCUUUUGUAACAAUCUUUUCAUACAAUUUUUAUAAGCUAAAAUAACUUUAUUUUGCUGGUUAAACGAAAACUACAUAGUAAAUAACAU
Molecule: long non-coding RNA, 679 nt
Filed under: Trifolium pratense (red clover)
Lineage: Eukaryota; Viridiplantae; Streptophyta; Magnoliopsida; Fabales; Fabaceae
Description: long non-coding RNA (TPRA_LNC009690)
Source: RNAcentral